RNAcentral lists this transfer RNA (68 nucleotides) under Marmota monax (woodchuck). RNAcentral describes it as "tRNA.Ala". The stretch from base 7 to 63 matches the Rfam family "tRNA", at positions 8 to 63 of the family's 71-position model. From Rfam's summary of the family: Transfer RNA (tRNA) molecules are approximately 80 nucleotides in length. The record is from RNAcentral. Lineage: Eukaryota; Metazoa; Chordata; Mammalia; Rodentia; Sciuridae.
GGAUUAUGGCUCAGCGGUAGAGCAUUCACCUAGCACGUGUGAGGCCCUGGGUUCGAUCCUCAGCACCA